GAUGAACGCUGGCGGCGUGCCUAAUACAUGCAAGUAGAACGCUGAAGGAAGGAGCUUGCUCUUUCCGGAUGAGUUGCGAACGGGUGAGUAACGCGUAGGUAACCUGCCUGGUAGCGGGGGAUAACUAUUGGAAACGAUAGCUAAUACCGCAUAACAGUAGAUGUUGCAUGAUAUCUACUUAAAAGGUGCAAUUGCACCACUACCAGAUGGACCUGCGUUGUAUUAGCUAGUUGGUGAGGUAACGGCUCACCAAGGCGACGAUACAUAGCCGACCUGAGAGGGUGAUCGGCCACACUGGGACUGAGACACGGCCCAGACUCCUACGGGAGGCAGCAGUAGGGAAGCUUCGGCAAUGGACGGAAGUCUGACCGAGCAACGCCGCGUGAGUGAAGAAGGUUGUCGGAUCGUAAAGCUCUGUUGUAAGAGAAGAACGAGUGUGAGAGUGGAAAGUUCACACUGUGACGGUAUCUUACCAGAAAGGGACGGCUAACUACGUG
This 497-nucleotide ribosomal RNA is filed under the name uncultured bacterium. Its description in RNAcentral is "partial 16S ribosomal RNA". It matches the Rfam family "Bacterial small subunit ribosomal RNA", at positions 28 to 507 of the family's 1533-position model. The record is from RNAcentral.